GAUGAACGCUGGCGGCGUGCUUAACACAUGCAAGUCGAACGAAGCACUCUAUUUGAUUUUUUUCGGAAAUGAAGAUUUUGUGACUGAGUGGCGGACGGGUGAGUAACGCGUGGGUAACCUGCCUCAUACAGGGGGAUAACAGUUGGAAACGACUGCUAAUACCGCAUAAGCGCACAGUACUGCAUGGUACAGUGUGAAAAAUGCCGGUGGGAUGGGAUGGACCCGCGUCUGAUUAGCUAGUUGGUGGGGUAACGGCCUACCAAGGCGACGAUCAGUAGCCGACCUGAGAGGGUGACCGGCCACAUUGGGACUGGUACACGGCCCAACCUCCUACGGGAGGCAGCAGUGGGGAAUAUUGCACAAUGGGGGAAACCCUGAUGCAGCCACGCCGCGUGAACGAAGAAGUAUUUCGGUAUGUAAAGUUCUAUCAGCAGGGAAGAUAAUGACGGUACCUGACUAAGAAGCACCGGCUAAAUACGUGCCAGCCGCCGCCGUAA
Molecule: ribosomal RNA, 497 nt
Filed under: uncultured bacterium
Lineage: Bacteria
Description: partial 16S ribosomal RNA
Rfam family: Bacterial small subunit ribosomal RNA
Source: RNAcentral